RNAcentral lists this long non-coding RNA (3848 nucleotides) under Brassica rapa (field mustard). Its description in RNAcentral is "long non-coding RNA (BRAP_LNC002402)". Lineage: Eukaryota; Viridiplantae; Streptophyta; Magnoliopsida; Brassicales; Brassicaceae. The record is from RNAcentral.
UGAUGAGUUGAGUUGGUGCUUGUGCAAAGACAUGGCAAGAUCUUCAGAGAUUGUAUGAUAAGGCUUUGGGAGAGUCUUAAGGCUUCAGAAGUGGUCUGAUGAGUGUGCAAAGAUAGGGUUAAGUCCAGGAGAGACUUAGACACCAUUUAGAGAAGAUUUGGGUCAGACAGUAACUCCAAAGUUACCACAGUAACUUUGGAGAGUUACCACAGUAAGAUUGGAGAAGUUUAUGCAAGUUGGUGUAAAAGUGAAUAGUGAAUCACUAGUCACUAUUCAGGUUAACUAUUCACUAUUCAGGAUGUGAAGAGUGCAUAGUAUUUGGAUAAGGCACCAAGGUUUGAAUCUAGUCAAAGGGAAUCAAGAAGAUGCUGUGUGGAGCUGAUUGGUUACUUUGGGGUAUGGACAGGCUGGCUGGAGCUGUAAAGAGGAAGGCAGCCACGACCAUGCACCUAGACUGAUCUGUGGACAGAUACAAAGGAGCCUAAGAAGAACCAAUCAAACCUCAGCCUUGGUUUGAAUUAAAGUGAGCCAGCUUAGCCAAUCAGCACACAUCACUCAGAUUACAACAAGACCAACUCAUCCUCACCAUCCAUUCCUCUCAAGUCAUUUCUAUCCAUUAGAUUUAGGUUUCUAAUGUUGCAAACAUGUAAAGCCUAUAUAACGCAUGUGUAUGGACGAAAUUGAAAGCUCUCUUAAGAGAGUAUGGGGGUUUUCCCCAUCUCCUUCAUAAAUAUAAAAGUGUGUUCUUGAUCAGAUUCCCUUAAUCUACCACUUUCUUAAUCUCUAAUCUCUUAAUCUCUCUAAGUCUCUUUGUUUCUGAUUCAAGUUCAUACUAGUUUCAUCAGACCUCUUAUUCAACUAGUUCAAGACCUUAUUCUUUGCCUCUAAUGGCUUCUCAUACACAUACACAGCCAGAGCUCUCAAAUCUCAUAUGGUAUCAGAGCCAAGUUCAUCAGAACCUGAGCUGAGCUUCCGCAAAUCCACAGCUCUCAUCUCAGUUCAAACCAAACCCUUGAAGACAUUACCAGCUGAGUUCAAUUCUUGAAGAAGAAAGAAGCUUGAAGCAUGGAGUGUUCUCCUUAUCUCUCAACCGUGCCUGUCUUUACCUGAUGGAGAGUGUCUCUUUGGAAGCAGAGGAGGAUGGAGAGGCGUCAUGAACCUCAAGCCAAAGCUCCUUGUCCAAGAGCUUAUCACAUCUGGAUACAAGAAAGAUGAAGCUAAGAGAAGCCGGUUUGAAGUAUGAAGAAAGGAGGGGUCUUUGGGUGUGAGAAACAAGAAGGAGGCCAUGGACUGAAGGAGAAGGAGUUGGGUGACGACCUAGACUCUUGCAUCCAACCAUAUCAUGGCCAGAUUGCCUUUGGAGGCUUAAGGAACCAACCUGGUUCCUUGUGUAAGCGAUUCUUUAAAACUUUCUUGAUAUUGAGCUUGUGUUGUGUUGUUGCCUGGUUAUUGUGAUGUGUAUUGAUUGAAAAACCUGAGGAUAAUGUGUGAUUGCUAAAUAUAAUUAGUUGAAUCUGUCCCAGGAUGCUUUAAAGGCUUGUUUAGUGUUUAAAGAGUAAAAUGCUUGUUCCUGUUAAGUAAUGAGUUUGCUAAAUGUGAAAUGGUAUUGUUUGAAGCUCAUGAUCUGAAAACAGAUUGAAAGUAAUGCAUUGUCUGAUGAUAAGUGAUGAUAGUAAUGCUUAACCUAAGUUAUAAAUGAAUGUGUGAUGAAUUGUAUUGUUGCAUUCAUGAAUUAAAACUGGUUAAGGUUAGUGCAUACUGUCAAAUGGCUGUCUUACAUUGAAGCAUUAGAUUCAUGUCUAAAUGCUGAGUAAAGAAGCUUUAAAAUUGCCUAAGUAGCUUGUAUUGAAUCUGUUAGGAUCAUGCUAGUGCUUAGAGAGUUUGCUUGCAAAGAUUAGAACUUGAAAAUGUCUAGUUUAAUCUCUUGCAUUGCUUAAAUACAUUGGUGUUCAAACUUGAUGAUACAUCAAGGGUUAACCCAAUGCACUUGUGUCUUAUCUUUGCUGGAGUUUGAGUGAUGUUUCAGGUUCACAAGAGGUGUUCUUGGUUCACCAUCCAUCCGAGUUGAAAGAGGAAGACUUUGCCCAUUGUGUGGAGCAAUGGAGAGUUGAGAAAGAAGUGGUGAUGCGCCACUGGUGUGAAGUCUCACUGAAGCUCACUUGCAAGCUUGGACCUAUACUCAAUCCAAGCUUGAGGAGGGGAGUUUAGUGAGCUUCCAUGCGAUCCAAGAAGUCCAUUGCAAGCAUCUGAAGAAGGAGCCAUCCGGGCUUAGGCUGUGGCGAGUCUAUUCAAGAGAGUACUCAAACUAAGACAGAGUACUCUUGGCUGUGAGAAGAUGAAGGCAACUCUAUCAAGGCGGCUUCUAGUGUGAAGUGAUUGGAGAGAUAGCUGAAGCUUCCACAAGCAUUCCAUGAAGAUGGCAAGAUCAGAAGAGAAGCGGCAAUGGUGUGUGUGUGAGGAUCAUGAAGUAAUCCAUUCAAGCUUGUUCCUGUGAGAGUCUCAAGCUUGAGGGGGAGUGUUGAAGCUUACAUGAUCCAAGAGAGCUUGGUGGUUAUUCUAGAAGAGGAAGCAACCUGUUGAGAAGUAUGAUGAAGGAUGAAGAAGCAAUAUCCAAGGCGGCUUCAAGUGUUGAGGUGAUUGGAGAGUGGCUGAAGCAUCCUCAUGUAGCUCAAGCAACAAGGUGGCGACUCUAUAAGAAGAAGAAGCAGCCAAGACUCAGUAAGAGAAGUUGUAUCUCCAAGAAGAGGCUGAUCUGGUGUGUCCGAGCACUUCAACCUAACAAGAGGUUAGGUGAAAGGGGGAGAGACCAAGAUUAGGCAGUAAGGAGAGUACAAGGCGUGGGAUGAUUGUAAAGGCCAUGAUCCAGAGUCUUUGUGUCCCUUACAUUGUUCGUAAGGCACAAAGACUCACUGGCCAAUCCCUAGGCCUUGGAGACUUUACUCUUUUUCCCUCAUCAAGGUUUUGUCCCAAAGGGUUUUCCUUGGUGAGGUUUUUAAUGAGGAAGUUCUUCAAGGUUCCAAGCUUGACUUAGGAUCAGCUAGAGUCAAGCUUGAGGGGGAGUGUUAACUUGAAGAGAAGAAGUGGAGAAGCAAAAGUGAUGAGUUGAGUUGGUGCUUGUGCAAAGACAUGGCAAGAUCUUCAGAGAUUGUAUGUUAAGGCUUUGGGAGAGUCUUAAGGCUUCAGAAGUGGUCUGAUGAGUGUGCAAAGAUAGGGUUAAGUCCAUGAGGGACUUAGACACCAUUUAGAGAAGAUUUGGGUCAGACAGUAACUCCAAAGUUACCACAGUAACUUUGGAGAGUUACCACAGUAAGAUUGGAGAAGUUUAUGCAAGUUGGUGUAAAAGUGAAUAGUGAAUCACUAGUCACUAUUCAGGUUAACUAUUCACUAUUCAGGAUGUGAAGAGUGCAUAGUAUAUGGAUAAGGCACCAAGGUUUGAAUCUAGUCAAAGGGAAUCAAGAAGAUGCUGUGUGGAGCUGAUUGGUUACUUUGGGGUAUGGACAGGCUGGCUGGAGCUGUAAAGAGGAAGGCAGCCACGACCAUGCACCUAGACUGAUCUGUGGACAGAUACAAAGGAGCCUAAGAAGAACCAAUCAAACCUCAGCCUUGGUUUGAAUUAAAGUGAGCCAGCUUAGCCAAUCAGCACACAUCACUCAGAUUACAACAAGACCAACUCAUCCUCACCAUCCAUUCCUCUCAAGUCAUUUCUAUCCAUUAGAUUUAGGUUUCUAAUGUUGCAAACAUGUAAAGCCUAUAUAAGGCAUGUGUAUGGACGAAAUUGAAAGCUCUCUUAAGAGAGUAUGGGGGUUUUCCCCAUCUCCUUCAUAAAUAUAAAAGUGUGUUCUUGAUCA